Long non-coding RNA from Cercocebus atys (sooty mangabey), 504 nucleotides. RefSeq lists it as uncharacterized. NCBI's taxonomy places the organism in Eukaryota, Metazoa, Chordata, Mammalia, Primates, Cercopithecidae. The record is from RefSeq and is a predicted model, not a curated record. The transcript is spliced from 4 exons.
GGGAAUGAGAAGACAGCUGUAAAUCAUGUCCGGCCUGCUGAUGACAUUCUCCUCUCUUAGCUAAAGGACUGAGGAUGGCUUUUCUGUGCCAGCCUGGGCCUGCUGAGCUGACCGUGUUUGAAGGGCCAGUCGUGGGCUAAGCUAGGCAAGCUGAGAUCAGUCCUGCAGGAACCUGAGGUCAUCACAGGAUGUGAAGACAGAGGUCAGGAGCCUGUGGGACCAGGAAUGAGCGAGGAGAUCGAAAUGACCUUGAUAGCUACAAGUGGAGAUGGAUCUUUGAGCUAUCAGAUGGAAGGCUGUCUCGCAGACCCAUGCUGGAUUUUACAUAAAUAAGAAAUAAUGUGGUCAUGAUGGCUGAGGAUAGAGGUGGAGCAGGUGCCAUGCCGCUCUCAUGAGAUGGAGACCACAUACUCUAAGAAAGCUGAACAGAAAAAUAAAAGGUGUCUGAGUCUCUGAUGACAUAAUGGAGCUACCAUAACCACCAUGGAUAUCAUCUAGGUGCUU